UAGGGAAUCUUCGUCAAUGGACGAAAGUCUGAUCGAGCAACGCCGCGUGAGUGAAGAAGGUUUUCGGCUCGUAAAACUCUGUUGUUAUAGAAGAACAAGGACGUUAGUAACUGAACGUCCCCUGACGGUAUCUAACCAGAAAGCCACGGCUAACUACGUGCCAGCAGCCGCGGUAAUACGUAGGUGGCAAGCGUUGUCCGGAUUUAUUGGGCGUAAAGCGAGCGCAGGCGGUUUCUUAAGUCUGAUGUGAAAGCCCCCGGCUCAACCGGGGAGGGUCAUUGGAGACUGGGAGGCUUGAGUGCAGAAGAGGAGGGUGGAAUUCCAUGUGUAGCGGUGAAAUGCGUAGAUAUAUGGAGGAACACCAGUGGCGAAGGCGGCUCUCUGGUCUGUAACUGACGCUGAGGCUCGAAAGCGUGGGGAGCAAACAGG
This 429-nucleotide ribosomal RNA is filed under the name Gemmatimonadota bacterium. Its description in RNAcentral is "Gemmatimonadetes bacterium partial 16S ribosomal RNA". It matches the Rfam family "Bacterial small subunit ribosomal RNA", at positions 355 to 776 of the family's 1533-position model. The record is from RNAcentral. Lineage: Bacteria; Pseudomonadati; Gemmatimonadota.